AUUCCGGUUGAUCCUGCCGGAGGCCAUUGCUAUUGGGAUCCGAUUUAGCCAUGCUAGUUGUACGAGUUCAGACUCGUGGCGAAUAGCUCAGUAACACGUGGCCAAACUACCCUUCGGACCACAAUACCCUCGGGAAACUGAGGCUAAUAGUGGAUCACACACUCACACUGGAAUGUCGAGUGUGUCAAACGCUCCGGCGCCGAAGGAUGUGGCUGCGGCCGAUUAGGUAGACGGUGGGGUAACGGCCCACCGUGCCAAUAAUCGGUACGGGUCAUGAGAGUGAGAACCCGGAGACGGAAUCUGAGACAAGAUUCCGGGCCCUACGGGGCGCAGCAGGCGCGAAACCUUUACACUGCACGCCAGUGCGAUAAGGGGAUCCCAAGUGCGCAGGCAUAGAGCCUGCGCUUUUGUCCACCCUAGGGAGGUGGACGAAUAAGGGCUGGGCAAGACCGGUGCCAGCCGCCGCGGUAAUACCGGCAGCCCGAGUGAUGGCCGAUCUUAUUGGGCCUAAAGCGUCCGUAGCUGGCCGCGCAAGUCCAUCGGG
Molecule: ribosomal RNA, 544 nt
Filed under: uncultured haloarchaeon
Lineage: Archaea; Methanobacteriati; Methanobacteriota; Halobacteria; Halobacteriales; Halobacteriaceae
Description: bacterial SSU rRNA
Rfam family: Archaeal small subunit ribosomal RNA
Source: RNAcentral